UACGAAGGGGGCUAGCGUUGUUCGGAAUCACUGGGCGUAAAGGGUGCGUAGGCGGGUCUUUAAGUCAGGGGUGAAAUCCUGGAGCUCAACUCCAGAACUGCCUUUGAUACUGAAGAUCUUGAGUUCGGGAGAGGUGAGUGGAACUGCGAGUGUAGAGGUGAAAUUCGUAGAUAUUCGCAAGAACACCAGUGGCGAAGGCGGCUCACUGGCCCGGUACUGACGCUGAGGUGCGAAAGCGUGGGGAGCAAACAGG
This 253-nucleotide ribosomal RNA is filed under the name uncultured bacterium. RNAcentral describes it as "partial 16S ribosomal RNA". It matches the Rfam family "Bacterial small subunit ribosomal RNA", at positions 524 to 776 of the family's 1533-position model. The record is from RNAcentral.